This 245-nucleotide ribosomal RNA is filed under the name uncultured Geothrix sp. RNAcentral's name for it is "partial 16S ribosomal RNA". It matches the Rfam family "Bacterial small subunit ribosomal RNA", at positions 524 to 768 of the family's 1533-position model. The record is from RNAcentral. Lineage: Bacteria; Pseudomonadati; Acidobacteriota; Holophagae; Holophagales; Holophagaceae.
UACAGAGGGGGCAAGCGUUAUUCGGAAUUAUUGGGCGUAAAGGGCGCGUAGGCGGUUUUUUAAGUGAGAUGUGUAAUCCCCGAGCUUAACUUGGGAACUGCAUCUCAGACUGGGAGGCUAGAGUACUGGAGAGGGUGGUGGAAUUCCACGUGUAGCGGUGAAAUGCGUAGAGAUGUGGAGGAACACCAGUGGCGAAGGCGGCCACCUGGACAGUAACUGACGCUGAGGCGCGAAAGUGUGGGGAG